GGGAAUUUUGGACAAUGGGCGCAAGCCUGAUCCAGCCAUGCCGCGUGCAGGAUGAAGGCCCUCGGGUUGUAAACUGCUUUUGUACGGAACGAAAAGCCUCUUUCUAAUAAAGAGGGGUGAUGACGGUACCGUAAGAAUAAGCACCGGCUAACUACGUGCCAGCAGCCGCGGUAAUACGUAGGGUGCGAGCGUUAAUCGGAAUUACUGGGCGUAAAGCGUGCGCAGGCGGUCUUGCAAGACAGUGGUGAAAUCCCCGGGCUCAACCUGGGAACUGCCUUUGUGACUGCAAGGCUGGAGUGCGGCAGAGGGGGAUGGAAUUCCGCGUGUAGCAGUGAAAUGCGUAGAUAUGCGGAGGAACACCGAUGGCGAAGGCAAUCCCCUGGGCCUGCACUGACGCUCAUGCACGAAAGCGUGGGGAGCAAACA
This 425-nucleotide ribosomal RNA is filed under the name uncultured bacterium. RNAcentral's name for it is "bacterial SSU rRNA". It matches the Rfam family "Bacterial small subunit ribosomal RNA", at positions 357 to 774 of the family's 1533-position model. The record is from RNAcentral.